GCUCGCGUCGGCGCGGCCUCCGCACGCACGUCCCGGAAGGGGCGCCGCCAGCUGCCUGGUUGGCGUCUUCAGGCGACGCCGAGGACCGGGAUCUUCUCCUCCGCCCGCUGGCGGGCGCGGCGCCGUCGGAGCCACGUGCUCCCCGCCGAGCCGCCGCCCUGAGAGAGAUCACUGUACAGGAGUAGUUCUCUUCAUCUGUAAGAAUGGACAUGGUGAGUGCAUUCCAUCGGUAUGGAGAGAGUGUGUGGGGGCAUAAAUUUGAGUUGUGUGAAGAAUACAUUCCAUUGGGUGCAUAUCCGGACCAUGAAGGAUCGCUCUGGCUCCAGACUUCUUAAACCUGUCAAAGUUGGAUGAAACUGCUGAAGCUAUUGCGAGCCCAGCAAGCUGCAUACACACCACUGGCAGGAUUAAAAUUCCACUCUGUCUCUCCGAAAGGCAUUUCGUAAGUCAGAAGCAGAAAAUGAGGAGCCAUGUUCUUCUUGACCUCUAGGUGAAAAGGAGAGCCAUUUCUUUUUCCUCAUUUGAGCACAACAGAACUCCCCUGUACAUCUGCCACGAAUACAUCCGCUUCAAGCCACAGAAACUUCAAGAAGGAUUUUUGAAUUUCAGAAUUGAAGAAAAGGCAUCAUAGACUUUCUGUGAAAUGUCAUGCAAUCUAGUUAGACAAACAAGCCUGAAUGGCUUCUCUCUCAAUAGCCUUUUGAUUAUAUAAACGAAUCAAAAAACAGACAUGUAUGUUCUCAGACCCCUUUCCAAACUGUAGAGAAUAAACCAGAAAGAUCUUUAGAGCUAUCCAGUAUUCUGUCCCGUGAUUUCAAAUUUCAACUUUGG
Molecule: long non-coding RNA, 831 nt
Organism: Mustela erminea (ermine)
Lineage: Eukaryota; Metazoa; Chordata; Mammalia; Carnivora; Mustelidae
Exons: 5
Source: RefSeq, a predicted model, not a curated record